Molecule: long non-coding RNA, 207 nt
Filed under: Nicotiana benthamiana
Lineage: Eukaryota; Viridiplantae; Streptophyta; Magnoliopsida; Solanales; Solanaceae
Description: long non-coding RNA (NBEN_LNC011289)
Source: RNAcentral
AGGAAUUUUGUUAACCUCGGAGAAGGUAUUAGGCAUUUCCGAGUUCUAUGGUUCUGGCACGGUCGCUCAACCGUUGUAAUCAACCUAUUAUCUGAUUUUAAUACAUGUGUUAGCUUAUUCCAUAUUUUAACUUUUGAGCCAAUUUUAUUGAAUUAUUUUUUUUAGGAAGAUUUCAACGUUUUACCACGUCACAUAAAUGCACCUGCG